UUGGAAGUGCCGCCUUCAAUUCCUUAUAACUCCUUCAUAUGAACUCCAAAAGUAAUAAUUCUUUCAUAAAAGAUGUAGACCUUAAAAUUGCCGUUCCAAUCGCACCUUCCGAUCUUCAAAAGCGGCUGUAAAACUCCUCGUAUCCUCCAAAGAGUAAUAGUAUAUCUUAAAUUAAUACUUUAACUUUAAACGGCUAUAACUUCUUCAUCCUAACUCCAAAUCUUCUAAUUUUUGCACACAUAUUGUAUCCAAAAUCCUAAAUUUUACAACCUUAGCUUGUAAUCUCCAAAUCCUUUUGAAAGAAGAACCCUAAUCUCUAAUAAGGCCUCGGGCAGCCUCUUUGAAGCCCAUUGGGCAUGGCCUUAAACCAAUAGGAAUGAAGUUUUUCAUUCCUUGCUUUCAUCCAACCAUGCCUUGCUUUCAUCCCUUCUAAUUAGCCUCUUACUAGUUUAGAUUUUCAUCCUUAGGCUUCCACCUUCUUUCAAGGCUUCAUACUAAAUAUUUAGGUCUUAUAUAUA
RNAcentral lists this long non-coding RNA (518 nucleotides) under Physcomitrium patens. Its description in RNAcentral is "long non-coding RNA (PPAT_LNC014310)". Lineage: Eukaryota; Viridiplantae; Streptophyta; Bryopsida; Funariales; Funariaceae. The record is from RNAcentral.